GAAAUGCGAUAAGUAAUGCGAAUUGCAGAAUUUCCGUGAGUCAUCGAAUCUUUGAACGCACAUUGCGCCCAUUGGUAUUCCGAUGGGCAUGCCUGUUCGAGCGUCAUUAUCCUCCCUCAAACCCCCGGUUUGGUGUUGGACCGCGUCGACCUGCGAGGGUCGACUGGUCUCAAAGACAAUGACGGCGUCCGUGGGACCCUCUUCGCAACGAGCUUUCGGGCACGCGAACACAAAGGACCCGCGGGCCGGCCACCCUUCUUAUCAUUUACAAGGUUGACCUCGGAUCAGGUAGGAAUACCCGCUGAACUUAA
RNAcentral lists this unclassified non-coding RNA (311 nucleotides) under uncultured Ascomycota. RNAcentral describes it as "sequence contains ITS1". The stretch from base 1 to 106 matches the Rfam family "5.8S ribosomal RNA", at positions 50 to 154 of the family's 154-position model. The record is from RNAcentral. Lineage: Eukaryota; Fungi; Ascomycota.